This 253-nucleotide ribosomal RNA is filed under the name uncultured bacterium. RNAcentral's name for it is "partial 16S ribosomal RNA". It matches the Rfam family "Bacterial small subunit ribosomal RNA", at positions 524 to 776 of the family's 1533-position model. The record is from RNAcentral.
UACGUAGGUGGCAAGCGUUGUCCGGAUUUACUGGGUUUAAAGGGUGCGUAGGUGGGUUGGGAAGUCAGUGGUGAAAUACUUUCGCUUAACGAAGGAACUGCCAUUGAUACUAUCAAUCUUGAAUGUAGUGGAGGUAGGCGGAAUGCGUCAUGUAGCGGUGAAAUGCUUAGAUAUGACGCAGAACACCAAUUGCGAAGGCAGCUUGCUACACUACUAUUGACACUGAGGCACGAAAGCGUGGGGAUCAAACAGG